RNAcentral lists this ribosomal RNA (506 nucleotides) under uncultured bacterium. RNAcentral describes it as "partial 16S ribosomal RNA". It matches the Rfam family "Bacterial small subunit ribosomal RNA", at positions 29 to 523 of the family's 1533-position model. The record is from RNAcentral.
AGUGAACGCUGGCGGUAGGCCUAACACAUGCAAGUCGAACGGCAGCACAGGAGAGCUUGCUCUCUGGGUGGCGAGUGGCGGACGGGUGAGGAAUACAUCGGAAUCUACUCUGUCGUGGGGGAUAACGUAGGGAAACUUACGCUAAUACCGCAUACGACCUACGGGUGAAAGCAGGGGACCUUCGGGCCUUGCUCGAUUGAAUGAGCCGAUGUCGGAUUAGCUAGUUGGCGGGGUAAAGGCCCACCAAGGCGACGAUCCGUAGCUGGUCUGAGAGGAUGAUCAGCCAAACUGGAACUGAGACACGGUCCAGACUCCUACGGGAGGCAGCAGUGGGGAAUAUUGGACAAUGGGCGCAAGCCUGAUCCAGCCAUACCGCGUGGGUGAAGAAGGCCUUCGGGUUGUAAAGCCCUUUUGUUGGGAAAGAAAUCCAGCUGGCUAAUACCCGGUUGGGAUGACGGUACCCAAAGAAUAAGCACCGGCUAACUUCGUGCCAGCCGCCGCGGUAA